GAUCGCCCGAUCGUUGAGCUGCAUUGGCGGGAUUUCGCCGUCUACGUUUCUCUUUCUUCGCGGACGAACACGCGCUGGGCCUGCAACGGCAGGAUCCCACGGUCCCUGACGGGAUAUGCGUUAGGGGCUUGUAGCUCAGUUGGUUAGAGCGCGCGCUUGAUAAGCGUGAGGUCGGAAGUUCAAGUCUUCCCAGGCCCACCACUUUCAUCGAGUGAGCAUUCGUCUUCUGGUUACGGGGCCAUAGCUCAGCUGGGAGAGCGCGUGCUUUGCAAGCAUGAGGUCGUCGGUUCGAUCCCGUCUGGCUCCACCAGAUGGUUUGAUCAUCGACUGAUCGUGCACCGUCGUCCGCGAAACAUCACUUCGCAUCCUGCUAGUCUGGAUAGACAGCAAGUUGCGUGUUUUCUGACAUCGUAAAGAGGAGAUCGAUCCGAGUUGGGUCGUGUAGCAGAUUGCUGCGCGGGCCCUUCAUUAUCUCCGGAUCAUUUUCGGCGCUCGACGCUGACCGCAAGGUUGGCUGCGAGUUGUAAAAUGAUCCUUUUAGCGAAGCUUGACCGCCUCGCUAUCGGAACGAUCUUACGAAGCAAGCUGGUCUUUCUAGUCAAUGUCCGGCUGCGACAAUCGUAUCUUCGAGGGUACGUGCCUUUAAUGGCAGUUGCGCAGACAACAUUCUGCCGAGUGUGUGGACAUUGAUAAUGAGAGCAAUCAAGUGCCUUAAUGGUGUUCGGUGGAUGCCUUGGCGCUGAGAGGCGAUGAAGACGUGCUACGCUGCGAUAAGCCGUGGGGAGCUGCGAAGAAGCUUUGAUCCGCGGAUUU
This 813-nucleotide unclassified non-coding RNA is filed under the name Bradyrhizobium sp. HY5. RNAcentral describes it as "partial 16S-23S ribosomal RNA intergenic spacer". The stretch from base 701 to 813 matches the Rfam family "Bacterial large subunit ribosomal RNA", at positions 1 to 113 of the family's 2925-position model. The record is from RNAcentral. Lineage: Bacteria; Pseudomonadati; Pseudomonadota; Alphaproteobacteria; Hyphomicrobiales; Nitrobacteraceae.